ACCUAGGUAUGUGAGGAAAAGACCUGCAAUCAUGAGCUCCUUAUUAGUACAAUCACAAGAGAAUAUAAUAUACCUACUAAACUCAGAAGCAAAAAAUUCAAGGACUAAGAUUAUUGGAGUGAGUUAAAAUAAAAAAAUAAAAAAAUAAAUCCUCUUUGUAAACAGAGAGCAGGCUUCCCCCACCCAAUCACCACCACCAGCCACUGCCCAGAAUCUGCAACCACUCCUCUUUCAUACUCAGCCUUCACCUGCUAGCGUGAUCUAAAUAAUAUUCUACAUAAUCCAUGAGGCUGCAAUGGUAUGUCUACACAUUGUAAUACAAUUUUAUGAUCUUCAUUUGGGUCAUAAAGUAGGUGAAAGGAAAUAUUGCAAUGCUACUGAUUUAAAAAGGACAUGCAAAGAAUGCAAGCUCUUUCCAUCUUCAAAUGCAAACAUUCCCGUUAUGAAAAAAAAGGAAAAAAAAAAAAACAGAGAAAAUUUCUUAAA
RNAcentral lists this unclassified non-coding RNA (486 nucleotides) under Hevea brasiliensis (rubber tree). Lineage: Eukaryota; Viridiplantae; Streptophyta; Magnoliopsida; Malpighiales; Euphorbiaceae. The record is from RNAcentral.